AGUUGAGACCACUGACCCUUCAACUGGGUCUGCAUGGGUGCCUGAGAGGUGGCCUUUUGAUAUCAGAGGGUCAAAAACUCCACCCUCAAGAUCAUGCUAAUGUUGCCAUUUUCUGUACAUAUGUCCUGUGAACUGUUCGUCCACCUCAUCUCUUGGUGACCUAGUGUGUAAAUCUUUUCUCUUUUGCAGAAUCUAUGUCACAGUGAUUGAUUUACUGCAUAUGAGCAGAAUGAACCUGGACCUGGCCAGUAUCAUUAAGGCUGUGUUUCCCCUGAAGUUAUGUGAAAAGCAUUUGUGGAUUUAACAGAGUUAAGGGGUCUCACUUCAUCACCUAGACUGGAGUACAGUAGCACAGUUGCAGCUUCCUACAUCUUGACUUCCUGGGUUCCAGUGAUCCUCCCCCUUCAGCCUCUCAGGCAGAGAGAGAAAGAAAGCAGAGCUCUUUGAAGCAGAGAAAGAAAGCAGAAAGCAGAGAUCUUUGAAGGCUUAAGAAACCAUAAGGUUUCAUCAGUUCAGAAAGGCUGAUAACCUGGACUUUUUCUGCCAAAUUACUAUCAACAAAGGACAGCACUGAAUAACACAAAGUAUAUAUCUGAAGAAUUAGAAAAGCAGCAACAAAGCAUGGAGUUUUGGAGAGUCAAUGCAUGAUGAUCUCUGAAGAUUCUACUGAAAUCUAAUCAAUAUGUCCUCACUGCCAUCAAUUCAAAAGAACUUGCUAAGAAGGCUCUAGAGGCUUGUACUCUCAGAUAGUGAAAGUGAGAUGAUGUGUAGUGAAAGUCAUAUAUAGGUUGUAAAUUGCAAUAUGGAAUUCCCAAAUGCUGAAUUCAUUUUAUCUCUUCGGAAAUAAAAACCUGUUAAAGACUC
RNAcentral lists this long non-coding RNA (864 nucleotides) under Homo sapiens (human). RNAcentral describes it as "HSALNT0085706". Lineage: Eukaryota; Metazoa; Chordata; Mammalia; Primates; Hominidae. The record is from RNAcentral.